This 600-nucleotide ribosomal RNA is filed under the name Triticum aestivum (bread wheat). Its description in RNAcentral is "partial small subunit ribosomal RNA". The record is from RNAcentral. Lineage: Eukaryota; Viridiplantae; Streptophyta; Magnoliopsida; Poales; Poaceae.
AUGUCAAGUCAAACUUUGCAAAGUUUGAUCAAAUUUAUAUUAAAAAAUAUCGCCUUUCAUAACGAAUUUACCAAUAUUAAACUACAUUUCAUAACUAUAAAUUUGACCGGCAGCAAAGGGAUAGGGUACGCCAUCGUGGAGGAGCUCGCCGGGUUCGGUGCGAGGGUGCAUGCCUGCUCCCGGAACGCGGCGGAGCUGGAGGAGUGCCGACGGCGGUGGGAGGAGAAGGGCCUGCAUGUCACCGCCUCCGCCUGCGACGUCUCUGUGCGCGCCGACAGGGAGAGGCUCAUGGACACCGUCCGGCAGACCUUCGACGGCAAGCUCGACAUACUAGUGAACAACGCGGGGCAGCUGCUGGUGAAGCCCACCGCGGAGUGCACCGCGGAGGAGUACUCCAAGGUGAUGGCUACCAACCUGGAGUCGAGCUUCCAUCUCAGCCAGCUCGCGCGCCCUCUUCUCGUGCGCGCCGGAGGAGGCAGCAUCAUUAACAUGUCCUCCAUUGGAGGCUCCAUCGGCUUCGUUGGCUCCACCGUCUAUGCUAUCACAAAAGGUACGUGCUCACUCCAUUUCAAGAUAAAUCUCAUAUUAGUUUCAGUUUAA